Gallus gallus (chicken) is the source of this 263-nucleotide long non-coding RNA. The record is from Ensembl. NCBI's taxonomy places the organism in Eukaryota, Metazoa, Chordata, Aves, Galliformes, Phasianidae.
AUGUGCUUUCAAGCAUUGACAGAACCUUUUCUGAAAUCAGAAACUUCUAUGUCUUUAAAAACACAUCAGUAAUGAGCUACAUCUGGUAUGCAAUUAUUGCUGUAAAGUUGAUGACAGGGAGAGUAGUGACUCAUACUCUGCCAUAAAUCUGAGGAAUGUCAAGAAAAUUCAGAGGAGUUCUUCAAAUGGAGAUCAAAAGCAGAAACUUUUUGUAGACUUACGAAGUACCCAGAAACAUGAUGAAAAUGGCUUAUGAGGCAGAG